GGCGAACGCUGGCGGCGUGCUUAACACAUGCAAGUCGAACGGAAAGGCCCUGCUUUUGUGGGGUGCUCGAGUGGCGAACGGGUGAGUAACACGUGAGUAACCUGCCCUUGACUUUGGGAUAACUUCAGGAAACUGGGGCUAAUACCGGAUAGGAGCUCCUGCUGCAUGGUGGGGGUUGGAAAGUUUCGGCGGUUGGGGAUGGACUCGCGGCUUAUCAGCUUGUUGGUGGGGUAGUGGCUUACCAAGGCUUUGACGGGUAGCCGGCCUGAGAGGGUGACCGGCGACAUUGGGACUGAGAUACGGCCCAGGCUCCUACGGGAGGCAGCAGUGGGGAAUAUUGCACAAUGGGCGGAAGCCUGAUGCAGCAACGCCGCGUGCGGGAUGACGGCCUUCGGGUUGUAAACCGCUUUCGCCUGUGACGAAGCGUGAGUGACGGUAAUGGGUAAAGAAGCACCGGCUGACUACGUG
This 468-nucleotide ribosomal RNA is filed under the name uncultured bacterium. Its description in RNAcentral is "partial 16S ribosomal RNA". It matches the Rfam family "Bacterial small subunit ribosomal RNA", at positions 28 to 507 of the family's 1533-position model. The record is from RNAcentral.